CAGGCUAGUACAGUGGUAACGUGUCGGCCUCUCAUCCGAGGGGUCGGUGGUUCGCGCCCCGCCCAGGCGCGAGAAGUUGCAAUUGUCGCCUGGAGGUUACUGCUGUGGCUGGGCACCACGGUGGGUAAGGACUAAGCUCUGCCGAGUCAGCACCUGCUGACACACUGUUAGCGAGUCGACAUUAGUCGGCACAGGCCGGGCUCCCCCAUAGCCCGGGCGAGGCUCAGCUUCGCAUAUCGGACUUAUCCUUAUCCGUGGAGAGCAAAGGAUUAGAAUGGCGAUCAGGUCGAUUUUCCCCCUGAUACUUGUGGUUCUGUUUCUGUCCCUCGUGCUGAUGGUGACAGUCGCUGACAGCCAGCGACCACGCCCUCAAAAUUAUUGCCAACUUGUGAGAUAUAGAUGUGACCGAGAUCAAACACAUAUAUGCUGCCGAGGCGAAUAGGGAUAAAUCGGUCUUGGUUGAAAUACUAUUUAGAAAUUUGAGAAUGAAUACAGAGUCACAAAAAAAUCAUUGGCAUCGGAAAACGGUUAUACGAAAUUAUUUGAUUUAGAAAGAAGAUAACGAUGAGGUGGUAAUGUAUAUAAAAGGUAUGACUUUUUAAAAUGUAACCUACUGAUUAUUGAUA
Molecule: long non-coding RNA, 626 nt
Organism: Penaeus indicus
Lineage: Eukaryota; Metazoa; Arthropoda; Malacostraca; Decapoda; Penaeidae
Exons: 3
Source: RefSeq, a predicted model, not a curated record